Brassica napus (rape) is the source of this 3813-nucleotide long non-coding RNA. RefSeq lists it as uncharacterized. Lineage: Eukaryota; Viridiplantae; Streptophyta; Magnoliopsida; Brassicales; Brassicaceae. The record is from RefSeq and is a predicted model, not a curated record. The transcript is spliced from 2 exons.
AUACGCAUCCCAAAAUUCUAUCAGUUCAUAUCAUUCCAAACUCCAACCCCAACAGAUCUCCAUGUAGGUUCACACCGUCGAGAGAUAUUAACACUACCACAUACACUCUAUGGUCAUCAUUCUCUAUACUCCAUCGGUCCUAAUCCAGGUAGCCCCAAUUGAAGUUGCCCUUGCCGGGACCGGUAGUUAGGAUAACACUUCAACCGUGGAUCCUACUAGUUGAGUCCAUCAGCCCCGACUUGGUGUUUAGCUACUCCGCACCGAACAUAUCCUCGUCCUCUGAGUCCUUCGGUCUAACCAUGUUUUCCUUGAUGAACGAACCUCCUAUCAUAGCCCUACUGAUUGUACUGGUAGUAUGCUCCCAUCCAUUAUAUCAUAGUGUGGUUCUUCUCGCACUUCUGCUCUUGUCACAACGAAACCGCCUUGUGGUAAUGGUGAUGUCGCAAGUUCCCCCUGGGCUCUGAGUAUGUGAUGUUUGGUUAGCCUAUGAUCUUCUUACAACCAAAACUAUAGCUCUGCACCCUUCUAGAUUAGCUCAUGAUCCCAGUAAUCUUGUACGUUACAACUAUUCUUCAGAUCGGUUCUCAUUUCCUUCAGGAAGCGGUGAAUCAGUUCUCGCCCCCUUAGAGAGUGCCCGACAAAUCCUCUUAGGGGGUUACAUCCUUAUUGUAUUCCCUUACAAUCAUGUCUCUUUGGCGGAUAUCCUAGAACUAGCCCUCUAUUAGAUAUAUGUCCUUCCUCGGUAAAUACCUUCAUUGACUUAUGACCUCAACUUGUUUCACUGCACCUCUAAUGUUCCUCCAAACCCAUGAUAUCCGCCACAACCUUCACGCUCUCGGUAGUUACAUUAGUCGGGUUUCCAUCUCUGGCUUUCCUCCAACCACUCCAACUCAUGUGUCUGGCGAUGGAACUUCAUUAAUGGGCGUCACCGAUGGGGUACCACCUUUCUCUUUAUGAUGCGCUGAGUCCGAGUGUAGUUCGGGUUCCACCAUGCAGGUCCACGAUACCCGUAAUUGUCGAAGACAUCUUUCAAGUAGACAUCCGAUCAGAACCAUAAUAGAAGCAUAGAUAUAGUGGAUGGUUUUGAAAUCGUUCACAACUUUCAGAAAAAUCAAAACUUUCACACGCUCUUUUCUUUUAGUGAAAACAAGUUUUUUUUUUUUUUUUUUUUUUUUUUGAAAACGUCGGAAAUGCCGAUCCCUUAGGACAGAACUAAGGGAUCUUAACCCGCUCUGAUACCAAUUGUAACAGCCCGAUCCCCCGGCGUCCGACCGGGGUUAUUGAAGGGGCGUUAUGGACACGUGUCUACUCAUUUAGACAACCCUACGUGUCCCGUUACUGGUCCCGAGAGACGAGCGCAUAACCUUCUUUGAAAUACCGUCACACCCACAUCCAUAUACUUCUACUUACAGUCCUGCGCACAGGGAAAAAUGGAAAUGGAGGGAGGGUGAGCAACAAGUUACUCAGUGAAGUGACUCUAGACCAGCCUGCCCGCAUGACACUCUAUACUACUCUAUGCGGGAACUAGGACCGACUAGCCACUACAAUCAGUUAAUGCAUUUUUAUCAUUUCCUAUCACCAUCUGUAAUUUCUACACACACUUCCAUUCAUUUCUAACAACCUAGUAAUCAAUCAAUACAAUGAUCUCACUCAUUGCCACACACGCCAACCCUAGACCUAACCGACUCAUCUUACCAGUCCGACUCGAUCCUAUGACUUCUUUAACUUCCUGUUACCCGACCAUGAGCUAAAACCCUACAAUGCACAUCCUUUUCAUCUUUUCAUCCUUUUCAUCUUUUCCUCAGUGGGUAGCCCCCCACUAGGCUUCUACCCCAUAUUCAUGUGGAUUGGCCACAUCUCCUAUGGGUGCUUCCAUAUUCAUGUGGAUUCGCCACAUCUCCUAUGGAUACCUAGCGUGGACUACUACCCCACCUACUUUCCUUAGACUCUCUAUAUGCUUUCCCACCCAUGCUUAACCUUAACAACAUUCUUUCAUACUUUUACUUAUCCUUUCACUUCCUUAUCGUUUUCACUUAACCCUUCCCAUUCCCAAUUACCUCCCUUUUCAUUCCUACUUGAACUUGGACUCAAUCACUAGACGCCACCCGUUAUCGGUGUCACCCACAAUACACAUCGCAUUCAAGUUCUACCUCAAAUACUUCGAUAAUCAAUGCUCAUCUAUCAUCCCAGCAUUUAUUUCUCUCUAGCAUCCUAACUUCAAUCACAACCACACAUGGGACAACACAACCUAACAGACAAGUAUCAACUACCAAUCAACCAUUACCACAACAAUUCAAUUCAGUUCAUCAAGUCCCAUUUAUCAAUAUGAGGGUUCUUAUGCAUCAUGAUCCAUUCAUCUAUCAUCCUAGCAAUACCAUGUACUAUCAACCUAACUCCCAAACAGGGCCUAAUCAAACCUAACUCCAACAUAUAGGAGUAUACAGAACCAUGAAAGAAGGUUGGGUUCGAAACACUACACCUUAGUCUAGAUCUGGAUCUGGAUCUGGAAACAAGGAUGAGGAGAUCUGAACAGAUCUGGAACAAGUAAACAAGAGAGAGACGAGAUCUGGUCACCACCACCACGGCACCGGCGAGGAGGAGGGAGAGAGAAGAGAGAUCACAGAGAGGGAGAGAAGAAGAAGAGAGAGACGGCGCAGGAGGGAGAGUGGUCGACGGCUAGGGUUUUCGGCCUCCGGGAAUUCUCUGCAGAGCUUCGCUUCAGAUUUGUGAUGAGACAAAAGAAGGUGGCUGCAGCUCCUUUUAUAGGAUGGAAGGAAGAAACUCUAGGUUUUUUGUCAAACGGGCCGUAGAGAAGCCCAUUUCUUUAUAAAAGUUUUUGGGUCAGGAACUGGGCCGUUACAGUAUAUGCAAAGGUAUCCAGGUUUCACCCGCUCCAAAGACUCAACUUCCAUCGAGGCCAGUAAAAAUAACUCAUUAGGGACGUUACUGAAAGGCCCCAUGUCUCGUCUUUUUCGGCAUAAAAAUUAGAGAAGUACAAAGAGCGUGAAUAAAAAAUAUGUAAUUUACAGAGACAAAACGAAAAGAAAAGAGGUGAAAUCUAUCUUUGAUUGCAGGUUCAGAGUAUAAAUAAGAGGUGGAAAACCUAGACGUCACAGUAGUUUUUGGAUAAGUAGGAACUCAGACCAUCCGAAAAUUUUGAAAAAAUAAAAGCGAAUAUUCGAUGAUUAAGGAUGGGUUGUUUGAUCAUUUUAACUUCUCCCAAAAGAAACGAUCUUCGUUGCUCUGGGUCCUGUCAAAUCUGAACUGACUAUCGCAAUGAUAUAUGGUGCCAAAGAUUGGAGUCACGUCUAAAUGUCUGAACCCUCGGAUUAAAAAAAUAUCAACAAUGGAGGAGUACCUCGACGAGAGCACCGCUGAUUUUGGACCAGUAGAUCGAGAAUAAUGAUUAUCGAUCUAACUUACAAAUCACAAGCGCAUCUCGUCAAGCUUCCGCCCAUUAAAGAUGACCAUGUGUCACUUAAUGGGUUGUGGUCAACUGUUGGAGAAGGAUUUAUCACAGAAAUCUGGCCUAGUAAAGGCCAAAUCGAAAUGAGAUAAAUUGGUAGUGAAGUCAUGAUCCAUCAGCAUAGUUUAGCUAUUGGUAGUGGAGGUUCUUCAACUUCAUUUUGUAUUGUGUUUUACUUAGCUUCAAGAGGAGGUGAGCACAUAUGCUGGAAUCUGAAGGAUUUUUGGGCGGGCUCUUCCUACCUCUUAAGAGAGAUGGUUUUAUGUUCAGACAGUCGGAUGAUAUAGCCUGUUGUUUGCUUUUAUUUUAUCAUUACAAUUUUCUUUGUAUAUAUCUCCUUUUAUAUC